UUUAUACUUUGGCUUCAAGUUCCGUCCUCUCUUUUUUCUUGUCGAUCAUAUUUCUUCCCCUUUCUCAUAUUUCCGCAACAAGUUUAGACUUUAGUUCAAUUUUCAUAAUGUUCGUUAUUCGUUUCCUCAUUCUGUAAAAUAAAGUCCUGCAAUAUGCUGUACGUACGUACAAGUAUAAUUUGCAUCUUUACUCAACAUAUACGCUAUGCCCACCGCUUUGUCUCGUUGCGCUGAAGCAUCUAGUUAGAUCUCUAUAGGCGUUAAUUGGUUUCCUGAACUCCCCAGUCCCCACACAACAGUCAUCGUCGGCUCCCUCGAGUUCCGGUCCCCGUAUUCACUGGUAUACAUUCUUCAUUCUCGAUCAAUGAAUUAUUGAUGCUGGCUCCUCCUGAGUAUAUGAUACUAUUAUCUCGCGAUGGUGAUAUCAUUUCGAGCACUGGCUGAGACCCAGUUUUGUUCACGUUGACAUCAUUGAAUGCUUCAGAAUCAUAGACAGGUACUGGUAUUCCGAGAGUGCGUUGGCUACCGGUAGGCUGAAGCACAAAAGAAAGGUGACGGUCGACUGCUGAAUGAUCCUCAUGAUCGGGAGUUUUUGCCACAGAGGUGAGUAAUCGCCUGUGUUAUUACUUCUCACCUGGAUGAAGGAGUUAAAAGUGGGCCGUAACCACGCACCGACGUAACAUGUCAGAAGAGUAGUAGUAGUACUCGUUCUUUUUCUUCCCUAUUCUGAUCUACGCAAAUCAAACGAUUUUCGGCCUUGACGUCCUUCAUUCUUCGGUUGAUGUUCACUAACAUGUAAUAGGUAUAUGGCAAUAACAAAUGAAAGAUAUGUAUGUCCAACUUAUCACCCUCUUUUCUUCUUCAUCUUAGCUACGUAAUUAGUUAUUACUCCUCAAGUAUAGAUCCAUUGUCUAUCAUCACAAUGUCCUUAUUAUAGGCUACAGCAGCCUAACUGUACAUGAUAUUUUAACAAUAGGACCCCAUUGACAAAGAUUAUUUAGAUACAUUUAUUAUUUCUACAAAAGCAGCGGUAAUAAUAAUACGACCAAAACUCCAAAACUCCAGAAUUCCAAGUAUGGCAAACGCUCAUUAUUCUAUGCCACCAGGCGGACACCCCGUGCCAUAGAAGAGUACAUUAUUGUAUAACAUAGCACACAUGUAGCCAAUAUCU
This 1171-nucleotide small RNA is filed under the name Cryptococcus neoformans H99. Its description in RNAcentral is "Cryptococcus neoformans var. grubii H99 hypothetical RNA". Lineage: Eukaryota; Fungi; Basidiomycota; Tremellomycetes; Tremellales; Cryptococcaceae. The record is from RNAcentral.